Molecule: transfer RNA, 74 nt
Organism: Dacryopinax sp.
Lineage: Eukaryota; Fungi; Basidiomycota; Dacrymycetes; Dacrymycetales; Dacrymycetaceae
Rfam family: tRNA
About the family: Transfer RNA (tRNA) molecules are approximately 80 nucleotides in length.
Source: Rfam
GGCCAGAUAGUGCAGUGGUAGUGCACCUGAGUACAAACCAGGAGGCACCCAGGGUUUGAUUCCUGGUCUAGCCA